UAGUAGUAGUAGUAGUAGUAGCAGAAGCAGUAGUAGUAGUAGCAGCAGUAGUAGUAGUAGCAGUAGUAGUAAUAUUAAUGUUAGUAGUAGCAACAGCAGUAGCAGUAGUAGUAGUUGUAGUAGUAGUGGUAGUGGUAGUAAUGGUAGUAGUAGCAACAGCAGUAGUAGUACUAGUCACAGUAGUAAUAGUGGUAGUAGCAGUAGCAGCAGUAGUAGCAGUAGCAGCAGUAGUAGUAGUAGCAGUAGUAGUAGUGGUAGUAGCAGCAGUAGAAGUAGAAGUAGUAGUGGUAGUAGUAGUAGUAGCAGUAGUAGUAGUAGUAGUAGUAGUAGUAGCGGUAGUCGUAGUAGUAGUAGUAGCACCACCAAACCCUCUCCACAUGUCUCCGCACCAUAAAGGACUUUGUUAAACUUCAGGCGAGCGGAAGACGGGAUGUGUGGGGUUAUUCUGAAUGACAUGUUACUGAUGAUAUAGUAGUAGUAGUAGUAGUAGUAGUAGUAGUAGUAGUAGUAGCAGUAGCAGUAGUAGCAGCAGUAGUAGUAGUAGUAGUAGUAGCAGUAGUGGUAGCAGAAGUAGUAUUAGUAGUAGUAAUAGUAGUAAUAGUGGUAGUAGUAGUAAUGGUAGUAGUAGUAGCAGUAGUAGUAGUAACAGCAGUAGUUGUAGCAGCAGUAGUAGUAGCAGUAGUACUGGUAGUAGUAGUAGUAGCAGUAGUAGUAGUAUUAAUGUUAGUAGUAGCAACAGCAGUAGCAGUAGUAGUAGUUGUGGUAGUAUUAGUAGUAAUGGUAGUAGUAGCAACAGCUGUAGCAGUAGUAGUAGUAGUAGUAGUAGAAGUAGUAGUAGUAGUAGCAGUAGUAGUAGUAUUAAUGUUAGUAGUAGCAACAGCAGUAGUAGUAGUAGUAGUACUAGUCACAGUAGUAAUAGUGGUAGUAGCAGUAGCAGCAGUAGUAGCAGUAGCAGCAGUAGUAGUAGUAGCAGUAGUAGUAGUGGUAGUCGCAGGAGCAGUAGUAUUAGUAGUAAUAGCAGUAGCAGUAGCAGUAGUAGUAGCAGUAGUAGCAGCAGUAGUAGUAGUAGCAGCAGUAGAAGUAGUAGUAGUAGUGGUAGUAGUAGUAGUAGUAGUAGUAGUAGUGGUGGUAGUAGUAGUAGUAAUGGUAGUAGUAACAACAGCAGUAGCAGUAGUGGUAGUAGUAGUAGUAGUAGUAGUAGUAGUAGCAGUAGUAGUAGUAUUAAUGUUAGUAGUAGCAACAGCAGUAGCAGUAGUAGUAGUAGUAGUAUUGGUAGUAUUAGUAGUAAUGGUAGUAGUAGCAAUAGCAGUAGCAGUAGUAGUAGUAGUAGUAUUAGUAGAAGUAGUAGUAGUAGUAGUGGUAUUAAUGGUAGUAGUAGCAACAGCAAUAGUAGUAGUAGUAGUAGUAAUGGUAGUAGUAGCAACAGCAGUAGGUGUACUAGUCACAGUAGUAAUAGUGGUAGUAGCAGUAGCAGCAGUAGUAGCAGUAGCAGCAGUAGUAGUAGUUGCAGUAGUAGUAGUGGUAGUUGCAGGAGCAGUAGUAUUAGUAGUAAUAGCAGUAGCAGUAGUAGCAGCAGUAGUAGUAGUAGCAGCAGUAGAAGUAGUAGCAGCAGUAGAAGUAGUAGUAGUAGUGGUAGUAGUAGUAGUAGUAGUAGUAGUGGUGGUAGUAGUAGUAAUGGUAGUAGUAACAACAGCAGUAGCAGUAGUAGUAGUAGUAGUAGGUGUAGGAGUAGUAGUAGUAGCAACAGCAGUAGUAGUACUUGUCGCAGUAGUAGUGGUAGUAGCAGCAGCAGUAGUAGUAGCAGCAGUAGUAGAGGUAGUAAUAGCAGUAGUAGUAGUUGUUGUAGUAGUAAUGGUAGCAGUAUUAGUAGUAGUAGUAUCAGUAGUGGUAGUGGUAGUAGUAUUAGCAACAGCAGUAGUAGUACUAGUCGCAAUAGCAGUAGCAGUAGUAGUAGCAGGAGCAGUAGUAGAAGUAGUAAUAGCAGUAGUAGUGGUAGUAGCAGGAGCAGUAGUAGAAGUACUAAUAGCAGUAGCAGUAAUAGUAGCAGUAGUAGUAGCAGUAGCAGCAGUAGCAGCGGUAGUAGUGGUAGUAGCAGGAACAGUAGUAGAAGUAGUAAUAGCAGUAGCAGUAGUAGUAGCAGCAGUAGUAGUAGUGGUAGUAGCAGGAGUAGCAGUAGAAGUAGUAAUAGCAGUAGCAGUAGCAGUAGCAGUAGCAGUAGUAGUAGCAGUAGUAGUAGCGGUAGUAGUAGCAGUAGCUGUAGUAGUAGGUACAUCUGUAUUAGACGCUUUCUAAUACAGAUGUACCUAAAAUAUACCACACCCCCUUGUGCUUUAUUGCUUACAUUUGUCAUGCUAUAAACCCAGACUGUCUCUGUCCUUAUUCCCCCAGCCCAAACAGAGCAGGGAUUUGAGCUGAAACACAAGUAGAGGUUGGAGACAGAGAGGGUGAGAAGGGGGCAGGGGGCAAGAAUGGUAGCAUGGGUACCCCCCUUCCAAACCCAACCUAGUCAAACUGACUCCUGGGCCGGGGUAGCAGUAGACCGAACUCUGGGGGACACGGGAGAGAGAUAAGGAGAGAGGAGGGGUUACGUGGAGGGUGUAUCGAGGCAGAUACACAGUCAAGCACCCACAUCUCCUGUGUGAGCAUCAUGCACGCACCCUCUCAUUCACCCUCUCUCUGCCUCCUUCCCUGUGCACCUUGUGUGGAAUAAAAUACCUUUUAUGUCCUCCCUCCCUCUCUGUAACGAGAUGAUGGACCCUGAUAGCGCUGGUGAUUACAGAACCGCAGUAGGACCCAGCCUUCCCCCAAAACAAAGUGUUUUUCAGCUUCUGUUUUUUCAGGCCCUGGCGCCACCCGGAGAACCGUAAACAAUAAACAUUGGCCAACGGAGGCCCCAAGCUUUUUAUACCUGAUUCAUGGACAGUUAUACACACAUAUUCACAUGUACGCGCACAUACACAUCAACACAAGUAGACGGUCGAAACGCCCCCACACACACUCAUAGUGUAACACUGUGAGUAAUCUGAUUCAGACUGUGCAGGUGAGGUGAUGAGGUGAAGGGUUUGAACGCCGCAUGCUUCCUGUCGCGCUGUCAUCAUCCACAUGCGCGCAAUUACACGCACACACACACAAACACAAGCACACACACACACAUACACAAACACACACACACACACACACUUUUCAAAGAUAGGCUUUUCCAUGUCUUAUCUCCAUCACCUGCUCUCUGUUCACUCAGCAGCAGAUCUAUCAUAACAACCAGUGUUACCCCCAAUGUACUGUAACACACACACACACACACACACACACACACACACACACACACACACAC
Molecule: long non-coding RNA, 3331 nt
Filed under: Salmo salar (Atlantic salmon)
Lineage: Eukaryota; Metazoa; Chordata; Actinopteri; Salmoniformes; Salmonidae
Description: lncRNA (ENSSSAG00000119693.1)
Source: RNAcentral